RNA transcript from Vanessa atalanta (red admiral), 2629 nucleotides. It is a transcript of the gene named spondin-1, with no coding region annotated. The record is from RefSeq and is a predicted model, not a curated record. NCBI's taxonomy places the organism in Eukaryota, Metazoa, Arthropoda, Insecta, Lepidoptera, Nymphalidae. The transcript has 16 exons.
CGACACGGGUUCAAUAUUUUUGUGCGAUCGCGUCGCGGCAGCUAGCGCUUGACCACAUGACAUCUGACCCUUUAUCGGCCGCCGCCUUCCUAUCGCGCACUUCACAUCCCGGCGCUGCUCAUCAUUCACAUAUUUCACAGUGUAUGCGUGAGCUGUAAAGAACGAUGCUGUGGGUCUUGUGCGCGGCGUUGCUGACAUCAAGCGCACUAGGCUGCGAACUUGUUCCAGGGGAGGGGACUGGGCCAAAGUCUCCAGGAGACAACUUCUAUCGGCUUAUCAUCAACGGUGACGUGGAGAGAUAUGCACCUGACCAGAGAUAUGUUGUGACACUCGUUGGUUCUCGCACCCACGAUGUAGUGCAACAGUUCACUAGAUUCCAGUUGACAAUCGACCCACUGGAUCCAGCGACUCCAAGGACUCCCCGCAAGCAAGGCCAGUUCCAGCUCUUCGCGGACACUCUCACUAAGUUCGAUGAGGAAUGUACUAACUCAGUGAUAGAAGCUGACGACCUGCCCAAGACAGAGGUACAAGUCAUGUGGAAAGCGCCACCGGCUGGUUCUGGAUGCGUGAUGCUAAAGGCGAUGGUGUAUGAAAAUGCGAGUCGCUGGUACGCGGAGGACGGACAACUCACGCGUCGCGUAUGCGAGGAUACAUCGGUGUCCGCGCCUGACUGCUGCGCCUGUGACGACGCCAAGUAUAGGAUGGUGUUCGAAGGACUCUGGAGCCCACAGACGCACCCUAAGGACUUUCCCGUGCAAGCUUUAUGGCUUACUCAUUUCUCUGACGUAAUCGGAGCGACGCAUCGUAAGAAUUUUACUUUCUGGGGUGAAGGUGAAAUCGCUACGGACGGAUUUAGGUCACUUGCGGAGUGGGGUUCAGUGGGUUUGCUGGAGCGCGAGCUACGGCAGCGCGGUGCCGUGCUACGUUCGGUGGUGAAGGCUGCGGGCCUGUGGCACCCGCGUCUUAAUCAGAACACCACCGCUUCUUUCACCGUAGAUCGGAAGCGCAAUUACCUGUCGCUCGCUUCCAUGUUCGGACCAUCUCCGGACUGGGUGGUGGGUGUGAGUGGAUUAGACCUGUGCAACAAGGACUGUACGUGGGUAGAAUCGAAGGUCAUCGAUCUUUUCCCCUAUGAUGCCGGUACUGAUAAUGGCAUUUCAUACAUGUCACCAAAUUCUGAAACCGUUCCUCGUGAAAAGAUGUACCGAAUUACCACCAUGUACCCCGAAGACCCUCGUGCCCCAUUCUACAAUCCGGAUAAGAAAGAGAUCAAUCCAAUGGCGAGACUCUAUCUGACUAGAGAAAAGCUGAUCUCCAGGUCGUGUGACGAAGAGACGCUGCAAAGUUUAGUGAUUGAAGAGACUGAAAAUACUGAGUCUACUAACAGACCGGAGUGUGCGGUGACGGAAUGGGAAUCUUGGUCGGCGUGUUCGGUGACUUGCGGCAAGGGAUUACGUAUGCGCACGCGGCAGUACCGUAUGCCGGAAAAAGCCCGUAUGUUUGCGUGCGAUCGGCAGCUCGUCUCCAAGGAAAUGUGCGUUGCAGACGUACCGGAGUGCGAAGGUGAUGAUGCAAACGAAGCCGAGCCAGACGAUCUAGACGUAGCACCAGUCGAGGCUGGUGGUAUCUGUGAGACAUCAGAGUGGGGCGUCUGGAGCGAGUGCUCAGUUACGUGCGGUGUCGGUAUCAGUACGAGGAGACGGUACUUCCUUAACCAGAUGGGCAACAAAAAAUGUCCAUUAGUGGCACUUGAGGAUAAUCGUAAAUGUAUGGAGCCGCAAUGUACGGAGGCGGAUUUGGAAACAGAUAUCUCAGAUCCGACAUGUCCCACAAGCGAAUGGGCGGCGUGGUCGCCGUGCUCAGCGUCUUGUGGGCGCGGCGUGCGCUUCCGCACGCGCUUGUUAUUGGUGCCGGCAGAGCGCCAACAAGACUGUUCUACUCGUGUCGAGCUGCUGCAGCAGCGCCCGUGUGUGGAGCGAGAGGACUGCACUAUUGACAUGAUGACAGCGAAACGCAUCUGUAUGGAGUCUCCAGAGCAAGGUCCAUGCCGCGGGCUUUACCAACGUUGGGCGUUCGCUGCGCAAAAGGGCAUGUGCGUGCCUUUUAAUUACGGUGGCUGUCGCGGGAACAGGAACAACUUCAUUUCACAGCAGGACUGUCUCGAUACCUGCAGCGUUAUACUUGGCGGAGCAGCCGGAACAGCCGCGGUGCCCCCGGCUGGCCAACCCGCACCCGCCGGCAAUGCUCUCUUCGCUGGACUCAGCGUCAACUCCAUCAUUCCCGGAGCGCCAACAAUCACUGGCUCCUCGCAAUCAGCCGACUGUCAGUUGAGUGACUGGAGCGGGUGGAGCCGUUGCAGCGUCACGUGUGGUAUCGGUUACCAGGAGCGCUCAAGGACGAUACUGUCUCAGCCUGGUCCGGGCGGCGCGCCCUGUCCUACUCGCCUCACACGACGACGCCGUUGCUCGCGCGUGUGUUAGUGUCGCGAAAAAUGCAGCAGUCUUCUGACCACUCAUUGGAAUCACAGUAACAAGCAAGUAUAUUCAGAUACAGUAAUCGACGAGUGGCUUCUACUUAAUACUCAUUUGUUUAUAUUUUUAAGAAAUACAUAAUAUAUUUUAGCAGGAAA